Molecule: ribosomal RNA, 468 nt
Filed under: uncultured bacterium
Lineage: Bacteria
Description: partial 16S ribosomal RNA
Rfam family: Bacterial small subunit ribosomal RNA
Source: RNAcentral
GACGAACGCUGGCGGCGUGCUUAACACAUGCAAGUCGAACGGAAAGGCCCUGCUUUUGUGGGGUGCUCGAGUGGCGAACGGGUGAGUAACACGUGAGUAACCUGCCCUUGACUUUUGGAUAACUUCAGGAAACUGGUGCUAAUACCGGAUAGGAGCUCCUGCUGCAUGGUGUGGGUUGGAAAGUUUCGGCGGUUGGGGAUGGACUCGCGGCUUAUCAGCUUGUUGGUGGGGUAGUGGCUUACCAAGGCUUUGACGGGUAGCCGGCCUGAGAGGGUGACCGGCCACAUUGGGACUGAGAUACGGCCCAGACUCCUACGGGAGGCAGCAGUGGGGAAUAUUGCACAAUGGGCGGAAGCCUGAUGCAGCAACGCCGCGUGCGGGAUGACGGCCUUCGGGUUGUAAACCGCUUUCGCCUGUGACGAAGCGUGAGUGACGGUAAUGGGUAAAGAAGCACCGGCUAACUACGUG